Otolemur garnettii (small-eared galago) is the source of this 998-nucleotide long non-coding RNA. RefSeq lists it as uncharacterized. The transcript has 5 exons. The record is from RefSeq and is a predicted model, not a curated record. NCBI's taxonomy places the organism in Eukaryota, Metazoa, Chordata, Mammalia, Primates, Galagidae.
UCUAGCCUAGCUGAUAAAUUACCUAAAAUGCUCCCACAAAUUGCACAAUGUGACCCUCAUUCAUUAUCUUCAUGUUCCUGGAAUUUGUGAUACAAAGAACAAGGUACAGCCAAUCAAUAGCUUGUGUCAAUUCAGGCCCAGUUCCUUAGAACUGCUGCUGCUCAGAACAGGACUACAUACAUAUUCAGGGCAACUUGAAUCCAUGUCUCCCAGGCUGCAUUCCUUAAACUUGGUCUAAAUAAACUCUCUACUUAUAUUAGUUUUGUCUCAGAUUUUUACUUCAGGUAAAUAUUUCAGAGUGAUGCAUCCUGACUAUCAGAUGUCCCUUUUCAGACUUGGUGCUUGGUACCAGCACAAACCUAUCGUGUUCUUUAGACUCCAGAGGUUUCCCCUUGGGUGCAAAGGGCAAAUUCUCCUGAAUCGAGACCUCCCUCCUUUUAUCUGAGAUCUAGUGUUUAUUUGGGCUAUUGAUCAAACCCUCUCUUUCCUUUAAGAGAAAAGACUUCUAUGUCUGCCUCUGGAUAGAAAAUUUGGGUCGACAACUUUUGCUGUCUCUGCCUGUACCUCAUGUCAUGAGGUUUGGGUUACGGUACUGGCAGUCGAACACCAGAGGUUUCACUCUUUGCGGGAUGGGGUAAGGAGAUAAAGACAUCAAAGAUUAUGGCUUCAACCCUGAAGAUUUUUUUUUAUUGGAAAAGCAUCAAAUAAAGGACUCUCUCCAACCACACUGAAAAGGACCAUAUCAGACAGCCUUGCCUGAAUGGACAUCUUUUAUCACUGGACAUCUGGAAGCUGACCUACAGCCAGUCACCUUGUUCUUCAGACCAGAAAGAGAAAAAUCUCAAUCAAAAGGGAGAAAUGAGAAAGAAAAGUGACUCAGAGCAGUCUGAAGAACGUGAGCCACUGCUGGUCAGAGCAGAUACUCAGCACAGCUUGAAUCUACGUAUCCUGGAUUGAAGUCCUCAAACUUGGCCGAAUAAACUUUCUAUUUACAUUAA